Long non-coding RNA from Carassius gibelio (silver crucian carp), 510 nucleotides. RefSeq lists it as uncharacterized. NCBI's taxonomy places the organism in Eukaryota, Metazoa, Chordata, Actinopteri, Cypriniformes, Cyprinidae. The transcript is spliced from 3 exons. The record is from RefSeq and is a predicted model, not a curated record.
GUAGAUGUUAAAAGCAAGAGACAUGGGAGAGCAUCAUUCCUUUGAGAUUUUAUAACUCAAACCAACUUUGGAGUUGUCUGAUUUGGAGAGUCAUUAUUCUUGGUCUUCGCUCUUAGAGGCCACUGAUGAAGAACAGGCGGUGACUGGGAUGAAUCCUGGUCAGAGAGGAGAAUCUUCUUUCCCCUAAACUGAUGCAGCGGUGGUUUUAAAGGAGGACGCUGCCCUGGAUGAUGUAGAAGAUGUCACAUGCUGUGCAGAUGGGGUUUCUUCAUGAUUACAUCAGUUAUGCUAAAGAGAUCAUGAAAAUUGACCGUGAUGCAUGAUCUGUAUUCAUGGACUAUGAAACAAACUGUAAGUGUAUAAUUUGUUAAGAAAAAAAAGUUAAAUGCUUUUUCUGUGUUGUUUAGUAGAAGAGUUUACACUCUGUCAUUCAUACACCUGCUCACAUUCUUUCACACACACACACACACACACACACACAUGCGUCUGUUGAAUGUUAUAAUAUCAAAG